CCAGCAGCCGCGGUAAUUCCAGCUCCAAUAGCGUAUAUUAAAGUUGUUGCAGUUAAAAAGCUCGUAGUUGAACUUCUGUACAGUCCCAAUUCUGGCUUCGGUCAAGUUGUGGAUUGUACAUCCGCUUGCAAAUCUAGUUCGGCAUUCACUUGUUGGCUAGGGGAGUAAGCUUUUUACUUUGAAAAAAUUAGAGUGUUUCAGGCAGGCAAUUGUUUGUAUACAUUAGCAUGGAAUAAUGGAAUAGGACUUUUGUCCAUUUGAUUGGUUAUUGGACAUGAGUAAUGAUUAAAAGGGACAGCUGGGGGCAUUAGUACUUAAUAGUCAGAGGUAAAAUUCUUGGAUUUAUUAAAGACUAACUUAUGCGAAAGCAUUUGCCAAGGAUGUUUUCAUUAAUCAAGAACGAAAGU
RNAcentral lists this ribosomal RNA (407 nucleotides) under uncultured eukaryote. RNAcentral's name for it is "SSU rRNA". It matches the Rfam family "Eukaryotic small subunit ribosomal RNA", at positions 567 to 990 of the family's 1831-position model. The record is from RNAcentral.